RNAcentral lists this ribosomal RNA (480 nucleotides) under uncultured bacterium. Its description in RNAcentral is "bacterial SSU rRNA". It matches the Rfam family "Bacterial small subunit ribosomal RNA", at positions 28 to 507 of the family's 1533-position model. The record is from RNAcentral.
GACGAACGCUGGCGGCGUGCUUAACACAUGCAAGUCGAACGGAACUCUUUGGAUCAAGACUUCGGUCAAGUGAGAUUGAGUUUAGUGGCGGACGGGUGAGUAACGCGUGAGGAACCUGCCUUUCAGAGGGGGACAACAGUUGGAAACGACUGCUAAUACCGCAUAACGCGUAGAGAUCGCAUGGUCUUUACGCCAAAGAUUUAUCGCUGAGAGAUGGCCUCGCGUCUGAUUAGCUAGUUGGUGAGGUAACGGCCCACCAAGGCGACGAUCAGUAGCCGGACUGAGAGGUUGACCGGCCACAUUGGGACUGAGAUACGGCCCAGACUCCUACGGGAGGCAGCAGUGGGGAAUAUUGGGCAAUGGGCGCAAGCCUGACCCAGCAACGCCGCGUGAAGGAAGAAGGCUUCGGGUUGUAAACUUCUUUUGUCGUAGGAAGAGUAGAAGACUGUACUCGGCGAAUAAGCCACGGCUAACUACGUG